CUGUGGUGCAGUGGGUUAAUGAUCUGGCUUGUCUCUACGGAGGUGCUGGUGCAAUCCCUGGCUUGGCAUAGUGGUGUUAAGGUUUCAGUAUUGCUGCAGCUGUGGUGUAGGUUGCAGCUCUGACUCAGAUUCAGUCCUUGUCCUGGAAACUUCCAUAUGCCAUGAGUUCAGCCAAAAAAGAAAAACAAAAGCCAAACAUCAAAGAAUACCAAGAAAAGAGGCAGAUCAAAGUGUUGUCUCUGCUCUCAACUCUUAAUGAAAUGGAUUACCAAAUAUACAUUGCAAUGCCAAGUAACACAGAAGUCCUACACAGAAUUCUUCAGUUGUCGGACCAGUUCUGUGUUCUAGAGCUGAUAUCCAUCUCUAGGAAGUAGAGGCUUAUUACCAAACAUUUGCUAGAGCCUUGCAGGCAGGUCUGUGUGAAGACAACUAUCUGCAGCUGUGUUAAGGGGAGGAUAAUCUUCUCAGUCCCUUUACUUCUCACAGGAAAAAACAAAACAAAACAAAAAAAACAAACCAACAUUGGAGACAGAGAGAUAUCAAAUAACAAUCUUCUUUGACCUUGAUAUAUCUGGCUUAUGAACAGUUUGUAAGACUUUGUCUUGCCAUUAACCAUUUGCACUUUCUACCACAAGGAAAUGAUUGUUGCAUGGUUUUUCCAGGGGUCUCAUAUCCUUUGUGAGGGAUUUCUUAGAGAUUCUUUUAUAAAGUGUUCCCAAUAUUCAUAUUUGCCUUUUGUUCAUUCCUCUCUCUCAGUCUGAUGGCCAGUCCUGGUUUUGUCUACUCUGUGUUGUACCCUCAGCACCUCCUAUGCAGAUUUCUGCAACAAACAUUCAGAAAUAGCCUUUAAUUCUGACUCUACCACUACACAUCCAUGCUCCAUUUCCAUCAUUUCAUAGCCUAAGUUGCUUUAAAUCCUGCUCUUUUUCAGUCAUGCGUUUGCUAAGAAACCCUGCAGUGAGUCCAGUGAGAGUGAAAAGUCAUUCAAUAAGUUCCAAGUUUUAAGGAGCAUUUAUAAUCAAUUCCACUUUCCAAACCCUAUCAAUAUCUCACUACUCUAGGUAAUCAAUUACCAUGACUUGCUAAUUUUACUCCCAAACUUUCUCUUCUUUCAACAUAAUUCACUCUCUGCAGUGCAGAUGUUUAGAGAGAUAGGCAACUUCAUAAACAUAAAUACAUAACUUCAAAAAUAUUUAAGUAAAUAAGUUAAAACUAUUCGUAUUCAGAUGAACCGGCGUUUGAACUGUUAUCUCUUCCUAAGCCAUAUAAAUCUGGACAAGUUAUUUAAUCUUCCUGAACUUCAGAUAUUUAACCCCAUUGAAUUCUUCCGAGGAUUAAAUGAUAUAAAAUAUUCAAGUUGUCUAACAUUCCUUGGGAUAUAUUACUUGGUAUAUUAAAGCAUGUUUCCUUAUUUUGGGUUUUGCUUUCUUUUCUGUUUUUAAAACUGCAGUCAUCUGGCUCUAAUCAGGAGGCAGACUACACAAUAAAUUAAAUACGUGUAAUUAAUAAUAAAGAAUUAUUAACUAUGAUAAAAGAGAAACUACAUGAUAUAAAGAAACUCUAUAUAUUAUCCUGAGAUUGAGGGAGAGUAGCUGAGAAAGGACAACCUUGGAAGAGGUUCAGAUCUUGGUGGAAUUCUGCCUACUUGAUAGUAAAGGUGUUUAUUAGUUUGGCUGGGCCUGGCCUGGUCUGGAGUUCCUGGGCAAGCAGUAGGCCAGGAAAGUGGGCCACCGAACAGGUGGUCAGUAACUGGUGACAUGGGGAUGCAAGUCUGGUGCCAGCUAGGGUGGAAGGCCUUUAGAACAUGCAGGCUUGCAUGGGUGUGGGGGCUUGCAGGACUGCUUUGUGUGUGGCUCUAUAGGACAUAGGUGGUUACUGGUAGACCACAUGGGGGAGUCCCAAUGCCUGGAAUGCAGGAGGCCUUCAGAACAAAGGCUUUUGCGAGUAUGUGUGGGAGCAGGGGUGGGAGUAGUUGUGGUUUCUGUCUCCAGGACUGAGGAAAGGUUAUUGCUAUUCAUAGCACACAAAGUCAUGGAGGGACCAUGCUCUAGGCCAAUGACCGGGACAGGCUUCACAGGAUGUUUUCACACUCACAAGGCUGGCCCCCUGACCCUUGCAGGAAAUUGCUGAAAGCUUCUUCCUUUGGUGAUGUGUCUUCAAUGCCCUCUACUGAGAAGGGUUGUCAUUUUGCUUACUUUAAAGGAAAAGCCUUCCAAUUAUUCUCCUAUUUUUCAUAGACCAUAUGGUAAAGUGUGCAUUUGAAGCUGAGAAGCAAUACAUUGAUAACUUGCACAUAGCUGUACUAUGAAACCAAUUAGCGAUGUUUUAUUAAGAUAUAAUUUUUUUCCCAUCAUAUUUUGUCUGAAGAAAUGACAGACUUCCCUUGGGGGUAGUGGUGUUUCCAAAUGAUUAACCAGGAAUACAGCAGGUGUUGCUUCUCUUUGUAAUAUUUGAGUCAGUGUUUGAAUACAAAUGCAAGAUUUAUUUAGGGAAUUAUAUUUUAAAUGUGUUCAGCACCAAUUUGUGUAUUGAUUUAUUCCAAAGAAGAGGGAAGCUGCACUUGGCAAGGUCUGACAUCAAGAAUGCAUUUGAAACAUCCAUGUAGUCUUUCUCUGGGCCCUUAGUUUUUUGAGACUGCAAUUUAUUAUUUUUUGUCUACUAAUCUUUCUAAGCAAAUGUACUUUUUACUCCCUUGUCAGUGUGCAAACAUGCUACCACAGCAGGCUGCAACACUUCGAUACUUUCCCCUGACCUCAGAUUUCUAUGCCUUUAAGGCACAUGUUCUUAUUUCUUCUAUGCUUUGGGGAAAACAUUGGGCCCUUACUCCUACCUUGUCCCUGGUUUUCUCUUUUGCUCUCUGAGCAAACUGUCUUACAGUUUUGAGCUCAUCAAAACAUGCCAAGCUCAAUCAGUAAGAUUUUAUUUUUAGUUUUCCCUUCCUUUUAAAGGUAUAAGGAAUGCCUAUAGCUUAGGAAUCCAUCAGAUGGGAGGUAUUGGUAACUUUGUAUUCUUUGCUGGACUCAUUUCCCCUUUCCACAUCUGGGAUCACCUCCUGCCCACAGUUUGACCUCAGCAGCCUGGUAGAUGGCAAUGACUUCCUGUCCUCUUUCAUUGCAGUGGCUACCCUAGGAUGCCAUAAAGUGGAAGAGUGGAUUUGAACCCUGGACCUGUACUCUAUUGUGCAAUUUUCUGUAACCUGAAGGGCCAUUUAUGCAGGUGAAAAAACUGUUGCACACAUGGUAGAAAUUAAAUUAUAAAACUUCAAUGCAGGGAUACUAGAUGAUCAUAUGGAGGGUGACAGUGAUGAUUUUGUGAUGACAGUGACAGAGUUAUCUAGAGAAAUCUGCAUUAAACUUUUACUUUCUACUACCUGGGAAGAAUAGUUCAGACUUGAUUUUAGAUCUUCUCUCCUGCUAAUCCCCUCCCCUAUGUGGUAUAGUUUUCCUACUAUAAAACUAUGUUGAAAAUAUGUUUAUAUUGAUUUUUAAAGACAGAGCAAAAUGAGAAGAAUUAUAAUUUAACAGCUCCAAGAACUAUUAAAGAGGAACACUACAAUAGCUAGAUCAAAUUGUCAUGUAAUCCCACUGAGAUGGAAAGAACAGAAGUAAAUGUAUUUGAGAACACCCCAUUUUCAUGUUGACAAAAGGGUUAUAAACUUCAUCUUUAUAAAUGGAUUUGUAUUGGACUUUUUGUGUGUAGUGAUAUACAGUGUUAAUAAUUCUAUCUUUUGUGAGCAAAAACUUAUCAAACCUCUGCUUUGUGUAAGGUAGUUAACAUGGUGUUUUAAUAUCUACAGAUGUUUAAGGUAGAUGUAGUUAUGCCCUGUUUCUAGAUGAAGUAAACUAAAUGCAGGCUAGCUGUUUGUGAAAGAUAACUAUAAAGUUAAUGUAUCCGGAUCUAUCUUCAUCUAUGCUUCUCUCAUCUUACCCAUCUUUAGAUAUAAGAAAUGGUGAUGAUGAAU
Molecule: long non-coding RNA, 3961 nt
Filed under: Sus scrofa (pig)
Lineage: Eukaryota; Metazoa; Chordata; Mammalia; Artiodactyla; Suidae
Description: lncRNA (ENSSSCG00000054193.1)
Source: RNAcentral